AACAAAAUUUGUGGGUUUCAAACAAAAUAUAAAAUAAUCAAAACAUAAAAUAACUGUAAGAUCAAAAUAUAAAAACUUUAAACUAAAACCAAAAUCAGACCUUAAAGUAUAUACGCAUACCGGAGUUCCAUACCCUUCGGCCUCUGAACCAAAUAUAUUGGAGGCGACGCACCGAGCAGUGUGUUCUACCUGAUUCUCAAGCAAGCUCAUUACUUGGUCUGAUUAUCAUAACAUCUGUCGCACAACACAAUUGGUGUUCCUUAUCUCUUGAAUUUCUCGACUUUCUCGGAGCUGUUGUUUGAUCGACUUUCUCGGAGAUGUUGCUUGCUCGACUUUCUCGGAGCUGUUGCUUGAUUAUUGCAUAGUCUAGAAUUAAGCACAAUACAACAUGGAGAUGGAGAUUGACAAAACAGUAUCAGUUAUUUUUGAUAAAUUCGAAUAUUUUCAUAGACAACACAAGGUAGCGGUAGCAAGCAAAACACAGGAUAUCAAAAUGCUGGUAAUAAGAGCAAGGAAGAGUGUAAUAAGAGACGACGUGAAGCCUACCAUAAAGGAAUUGAGCUUGAAAGUAAUGAGCAAAGAGAGCAAUGAAAUAAGGAGCAACGACAACGAUAUCAAAAAGAUAUAUAGUCCCUCACUACUAUCAAUGCUAAAAGCUAAGGGAACUCACUGUGAUACUUUCUGAUGAUGAGAAUGGAAUCAGAUUAGAGGAUACAUCAGGGCGGAAUAAAGCACAGGAGCAUAGAAUCAAACGCAAAGAUAACUCAAGUUUUUCACAGUGGCACAAUCUUGCAACAGACUUAUUGAUAUUGGUUAUUAACAAGCUUAAUUAUGAAGAUUGCAUUUAUCUUCGAGCUGUUUGCAAAGGAUGGAGAGUUAUUCAAAAAUCAACUUGCGCUACAAUCCUUGACAUUCCAUUACAGGGUAUAGCAGCAAUACUUAUUAUAUUGGGAAAAGACAGUUUCAAAGAUUUCUUCAGUUUCUUCAUCUGCUGGAUAAAAGGCCAGAAUGAUAGAACUAUAAAAGCAUUAUUAGAUUUAACUCCUAUACAAGAAUUAUAUCACUGGGGAUAUUAACGGAACAGACCUGAUGCAAGUAUGUAUACCUACUUCAUGACUAUGUCUCAACGACUUGGUAACAAAGAUGCCGAAUUUUAUUGAGCCUCAAAAAGUAUUAUUUUUAGGAACCAUGUUAAUCAUGAUAUAUUUGCUUAUUCAUAUCAAAUUAUCAAAAGUCUGUCUAUGAAGGGUCACACUAUCUCUGUGCUAUUUAAGAAUAUGCUCGAUAUAUAUUUUUUCCCCAAGAAAAAGAAAACUGCAGUCAUUAUUCCCAUCAAUCUAAUUACUUCGCCCGAGACAAGAGGCAAGAUAUUUGGAAUGAUGGUGGCUUUGAACACAAUUGCGGAAGAAAUUUAUCUAGAGAUAACAUUUGGCCCGCUAGAAGGAACGCCUAUUUGUAUGUGUCCAUAUCCAAGUGAAGACAAUCGCUAGAAGUGAAGACUCGGAAGAAAUACAUGACUA
This is an RNA transcript of Daucus carota subsp. sativus, 1520 nucleotides long. RefSeq lists it as uncharacterized. NCBI's taxonomy places the organism in Eukaryota, Viridiplantae, Streptophyta, Magnoliopsida, Apiales, Apiaceae. The record is from RefSeq and is a predicted model, not a curated record. The transcript has 7 exons.